UACGUAGGGGGCGAGCGUUUGUCCGGAGUUACUGGGCGUAAAGCGCACGCAGGCGGUCUCUUAAGUUUGGAGUGACAGUUGGUGGCUUAAACUGCCAAAAGUGCUUUCGAAAAACUGAGAGACUUUGAGGGGCUUCAGAGGGACACGGAAUUCCGGGUGGAGUGGUGAAAUGCGUAGAGAUCCGGAGGAACACCAAAGGCGAAGGCAGUGUCCUGGGGAGUACCUGACGCUCAGGUGCGAAAAGCCAGGGGGAGCGAAACGGG
Molecule: ribosomal RNA, 263 nt
Filed under: uncultured bacterium
Lineage: Bacteria
Description: partial 16S ribosomal RNA
Rfam family: Bacterial small subunit ribosomal RNA
Source: RNAcentral